This 8389-nucleotide long non-coding RNA is filed under the name Populus trichocarpa (black cottonwood). RNAcentral describes it as "long non-coding RNA (PTRI_LNC001979)". The stretch from base 6182 to 6285 matches the Rfam family "Plant small nucleolar RNA R71". Lineage: Eukaryota; Viridiplantae; Streptophyta; Magnoliopsida; Malpighiales; Salicaceae. The record is from RNAcentral.
GCAAUUUUUGGACCUCUGAGCGUUGAGAUAUGGGCUAUAAACCGAAACAGUCUUUGCAGUGCAGGAAUUUCGGGCUGGUUCAAUCCUUGUUUUUCAACUCGCUUUUUGGGCUUCGAAACAACAAAACUGAGUUAUAUGUCCUUCAUAUGUUUUGUAGACCUUCAUCUCAGCUAUUUGAAAAUGGUUACGAACAUCCGGAACUAAAUUGUAUAGCUUCUUUGCAGCACAUAAUGAAUCACUGUUCAGUUUCACUGCCCGGCUCUGCCUGUUCAGUAACCUAAGAUCUGAAAACACAUUAAUUUCCCACGAGGUCAAUAGUUCAAAAAGAGAUUCAAAAUUCUAAUUGUCUUGUGCAACAUAUCCAAAAUAUUUAAAAAUCAAGCAUGAAUAGCAGAAAAUAUACAUGCUAAAAAUUCCCUUAUCAAAUACCCCCAAACUUGAAUGUUUGCUUGUCCUCAAGCAAAAAGGAAACCAUGAAAGCAUAGUGCUAAAAGCUCAUGAUAAGUUCAACUUUGACAUUUAAAAGGCUCCAUCAUGCAGCAUUCACUUCUUGACUUAGCUCAUAGACAAUAUUAGAUAAUGGAAAACUAAGCAUUCCUACUCUCUGUGCAGACCGUUGUACAAACUUCCAACUCAUCCAUGUGUUUCAUGUGUUUAGCAUCCUUGAACCGUGCACAGUCAUUCUGCCAUUAUUUUUUUUUUUUUGAACAAGGUAGCCAACUUUAGGAGUAAUAACACACUUUUACUUGUCUUUUGACAAGGGUGAUUUUUUUAAAUUUAUCACUUGUCUUUUGACGCGAAUACAAACAUUUGUGAUGAAUGCACCCGGUUACUUAACAGGUCAUAAGCUUAAAAUGCUUUGCAUACUCAUAUUUUAAAGCUGCCGUUUGACGUAAAAGUAAACAUUUGUGAUGAAUACUCCUAGUUACUAAGCAACUCAAAACAUUGGAGUAGAUACACAUCAUAUACUUAUUCAUUCACUUUCAUACUCAUUAUCACUCCUUGUUUUGAUAUUUUUCUUAGAGGGUAAUAACAAAAAAGAACAGCACACUUAUCUCUUAUGCAUAACUACACAAUUCACCUGACUAUGCUGGAAAAGUGUACUUCAAUAAUUCAACAGAAAAUAGUCAUGCUUAAUCCAACUUUAUAAGAUAUUAUCCACUCUAAGCCUAGGAAUAUCAUGGAUACAUCAUGAAGCACCUAAAAAUGUCAAAGUUGGUCUUAAAUGCAUAUCACUUUUCACCCUCUGUUUUCAUGGUUCCAGUGUGCAGUGUUCUUUCAUAGUCAAAGCAUGCAAUGUCUCCCCCAAACUUAAAUAUCACAGUCCUCAAUGGAAAAACAAAGAAUAGAAAGGCUUACGAAUACUUCCUUUUGACUAUGUGGGUGUGAGUUUGUUGCUGCUCCUGGUUAUUUGCUUGUAUGAUCAAUCCCUGCACAACUCAAUAAAACAAAUAAGGUUUUUUUUUUUUUUGGGUUGCCUCCCAAUCAGUGCUUAGUUAUAGUCAUUAGCUUGACUUUUCCAUUUAGCUAAGAUGAAGUGAGAGGGAUAUCAUCCCUUUUUCCAAUAGACUCUCCAUUCCUAUAAUGCUUCAGACGCUGCCCAUUCACUGUGAAUGUUCCCUUUUCAUCAUGAGUGACCUCUACUGCUCCAUAAGGAAAUACUUUCACAACCGUAAAUGGUCCUGACCACCGUGAUUUGAGCUUACCAGGAAACAAGCGGAGCCGUGAAUUGAAAAGUAAUACCUGCUGACCAGGGACAAACUCCUUGCGUACAAUGUGUUUGUCAUGCCAUGCCUUGGUUCUUUCAUUGUAUAUCUUGGCAUUCUCAUAGGACUCAUUGCGAAAUUCAUCCAUCUCAUUAAGUUGCAGGAUUCGUUUCUCACCUGCAACCUGCAGAUCUAUGUUCAGUUGUUUCAUUGCCCAGUAUGCCUUAUGCUCUAAUUCAACAGGAAGAUGGCAUGCUUUUCCAAAAACUAAUCGAUACGGAGACAUUCCCAAUGGUGUUUUUAAUGCUGUCCGAUAUGCCCACAAUGCAUCAUCUAGCUUUCGUGCCCAAUCUUUCCGAGAAUUACUUACUGUUUUCUCUAAGAUUUGCUUCACCUCUCUAUUUGAUACCUCUGUUUGGCCAUUUGUCUGAGGAUGAUAAGCCAAUGCUCGUUUGUGUCUGACUCCAUACUUAGAUAGCAGUGCUUCAGACUGCUUGUUGCAAAAAUGAGUUCCUUCAUCACUGAUGAUGGCUCGAGGAGUACCAAAUCUGGUAAAGAUGUUCUUUCGUAGAAAAUUAAGUACCACCUUGCCAUCAUUUGUAGGCGUUGCAAUUGCCUCGAUCCACUUUGAUACAUAAUCCACUACUAAGAGAAUGUAUUUGUUGUUAUAUGAUGAAGGAAAAGGUCCCAUGAAAUCGAUGCCCCAAACAUCAAAUAAUUCAACUUCUAAGAUAUUCUGCAGUGGCAUUUCAUUUCGUCGAGAUAUAUUCCCAGUAUGCUGACAUCUAUCACAAGCAGUAACAAAAGCAUGAGCAUCUUUAAACAUAGUGGGCCAAUAAAAACCUGACUGCAGAACUUUGGCUGCAGUGCGCUGUGUUCCAAAGUGCCCCCCAUAUUCAAGUGUGUGGCAAUGCUUCAAUAUGUUUGUCAUUUCUUCUUCUGGAACGCACCUCCUGAUGACUUGAUCUGCACAAUGCCGAUAGAGUAUCGGCUCCUCCCAGAAGUAGUGUUUGACUUCAGAAAAAAAUUUCUUCUUUUGCUGGUAAGAAAAAUCUGGCGGUAUGAUUUUACCUGCAAGAAAGUUGACAUAAUCUGCAUACCAAGGAAAGAAUUUGUUAGUGGAAAUUGCUAAGAGUCUUUCAUCAGGAAAACAUUCAUUUAUAACCGUGAAUUUAGGCUCCAGCUGCUGUGUCAAUUCCAGCCUUGAAAGAUGAUUUGCCACCACGUUCUCAGUCCCCUUUUUAUCUUUAAUUUCUACAUCAAAUUCUUGCAGUAAUAGGAUCCAACAGAUGAGUCUAGGCUUGGCAUCUUUCUUAGACACUAGGUGUCUAAUUGCAGCAUGAUCAGUAUACACCAGCACUUUGUUUCCCAUCAGGUAAGGCCGAAACUUAUCAAAUGCAUAGACCACAGCAAGCAACUCUUUCUCGGUUGUGGCAUAAUUGAGCUGGGCAUCGUUGAGUGUUCUGCUGGCAUAGUAUAUGGUGUGAAACACAUUAUUUUUCCGUUGCCCCAGUACUGCUCCAACUGCAUAAUCACUUGCAUCACACAUAAGCUCAAAUGGUUUCUCCCAAUCCGGUGCAAUUACAAUAGGAGCUGUCACUAACUUCUUUUUCAACAACAUAAAGGCUGUCUUGCAUUCCUCAUCAAACUGAAACUUUGUGUCUUUUAGCAGCAGACUGCAUAGCGGUUUGGAUAUUUUAGAGAAGUCUUUGAUGAACCUCCUAUAAAAUCCCGCAUGACCAAGGAAACUCCUAACCCCUUUUACUGUAGUUGGUGGCAAAAGCUUAUCUAUUGCUUCAAUUUUAGCUAUGUCUACUUCUAUUCCUUUUUCUGAAAUCCGGUGCCCCAAUACUAUACCUUCCUUUACCAUGAAGUGACAUUUUUCCCAGUUCAAUAUCAAGUUUGUCUUUUCACAACGCUCCAAAACCAACGCCAACUUUGCAAGGCAGUCAUCAAAAGAAGUUCCAAAUACAGAAAAGUCAUCCAUGAAGAUCUCAAUGAUUUGCUCCACCAUAUCUGAAAAAAUAGCCAUCAUGCACCUCUGAAAGGUAGCUGGUGCAUUACACAACCCAAAAGGCAUUCUUCUGAAAGCAAAAGUACCAUAAGGGCAUGUGAAAGUGGUCUUCUCCUGGUCCUCAGGUGCGAUGGCUAUUUGGUUGUAUCCUGAAUAGCCAUCUAGGAAACAGUAGUAUUCAUGCCCAGCUAACCUGUCCAGCAUCUGAUCAAUGAAUGGUAGGGGGAAGUGAUCUUUGUGAGUUGCCUUGUUGAGCUUUCAAUAAUCCAUGCAAAUCCUCCAUCCAGUUACCGGUCUAGUAGGUAUCAAGUUGUUGUUUGCAUCCUUUACCACUGUCAUUCCUCCUUUCUUUGGCACAACUUGAACUGGGCUCACCCAUGAGCUGUCAGAGAUUGGAUAAAUAACACCAGCAUCUAACCAUUUCAGAACUUCUUUUCGGACUACCUCUUUCAUGGUCGGGUUAAGCCUUCUCUGAUGUUCUACUGUUGGCUUGACUUCAUCCUCCAACAGAAUUUUAUGCAUGCAAAUAGAGGGACUGAUGCCUUUGAUAUCUGCCAAUACCCACCCGAGAGCUGCCUUAUGUUUUCUCAACACCCUCAACAAUUUUUCUUCCUCUGUUUUGGUCAGCUUUGCAGAGACUAUCACAGGAUAGGUGGAAGCUUCUCCAAGAUAUGCAUACCAAAGGUGUUCUGGCAGAGGUUGCAAUUCCAGAACCGGUGCUUGUUCACUGGUUGAUUUUAUUUUUGGUGCUGGUUGUCCCAAAUCUUCAAAGUAUCUUCUGCGGUUAGGUUCAAAAGAGUCCAUCCAACAUGUAUAUUUUGCUAUUUCAGCAUCCUCUUCCAAUACAUUAUUUACCAAACAUGCUUCCAACGGGUCAGUUGGAAGCUUGACUUUGUCAUUAAUUAAAGAGUCCACCACUUAAAUGCUGAAGCAACUCUCCCCAAUAUCUGGCUGUUUGAUGGCUUUGAACACAUUGAAAAUCACCUCCUCUUCAUUCACCCUUAACCGCAGCUCCCCUUUCUUCACAUCAAUUAAGGCACCUCCAGUGGCCAAGAAUGGCCGGCCAAGCAAGAUAGGAAUCUCAUUAUCCUCCUCCAUAUCCAGAAUGAUGAAGUUUGCUGGAAAGAUGAACUUGCCCACUUUCACCAGUACGUCUUCAAUUAUUCCCCUUGGAUGCUUCAAUGACCUGUCAGCUAGCUGUAGUGUUACUGUGGUUGGCCUUGCUUCACCUAAACCAAGCUUCUUAAAAAUAGAUAAAGGCAUGAGAUUAAUACUUGCACCUAAAUCACAUAAAGCUUUUUCAAAUAUAGAAUUUCCAAUGGAACAUGGUAUAGUAAAACUCCCUGGAUCCUUAAGUUUAGGAGGCAGUUUCUUCUGUAAAAUGGCACUGCAUUCCUCAGUAAGAGCAACAGUCUCAUAUUCCUCUAGCUUUCUUUUGUUUGAGAGGAUGUCCUUCAAAAAUUUCACAUAGCUUGGCAUUUGUUCAAGAGCAUCUGCAAAAGGAAUGUUAAUCUGCAAUUUUUUAAACACAUCAAGAAAUUUAGAAAAUUGCUUAUCAAGUUUAUUCUUCUUGAGACGUUGUGGAAAUGGAAUUCUCUGCAUUAUUUCUUGCGUUGGUUCUGGCAGAGGAUCAGAUUUUUUCAUAUUCUGAAGUGGUUUGGCCACUUGCUCCUCCUCUUCUCUUCCUGCACUCUUGUUUCCAGCGGUCUGCUCCACUUCUUUUCCACUUCUUAAAGUUAUGGCCUUGCAUUGCUCCUUAGGAUUAAUUUCAGUUGUGCUUAGUAGAGUUCCUUGUUGUCUACCCGUGAGCAUGUUGGCUAACUGACCAACUUGAACCUCCAAAUUUCAAAUAGAAGCUGCUUGGUUCUGCAGAUUAGUAUUUGUUUCAGUCAUGAAUCUGCUGGUGUUGUUUGCUAAUUGUGUCAUAGCUUCUUCAAGUUUAGAUUUCUCUUUCAUGUGCUCACUUGAAGAUGGCAUAGCUGGAUUCUUCAUGACAGUUUGAUUGUUCCAUGAGAAAUUAGGAUGAUUUCUCCAACCGGGAUUAUAUGUUGCACUGUAGGGGUUAAUCUGCCGGCUGUAGUUUGACACAAAAUGAGCAUGCUCUGCUUGAGAGAACGGGUUCCCAACCUGACACUCUUCACUUGUGUGAUUUCCAUGGCAAAAAUCACACGUUGUAUGGAUGGCAUUUGCUAACAGUUGAGUGGUUUUCAGUUGCUGAGUUAGUGAAUGGACUUGAGCUGUUAAUGCCGUGAUUGCAUCAAUUUCGUGCACCCCAACAGUCUUCUUCUGUAUGCUUCUUUCAUUUGGCCAUUGGUAAUUGUUCAUAGCCAUUUCUUCCAAUAAGUUGUAAGCAUCAUCCUGUGACUUACUCAUAAAAGCUCCUCCUGAAGCUGCAUCAAUUAGUGUUCUUGUGGAGGCAUUCAAUCCAUUGUAAAAAUUCUGCACCUGCAUCCACUUCGGUAGUCCAUGGUGGGGACAUCGCCUGAGCAAAUCCUUGUAUCUCUCCCAUGCCUCAUACAAUGGUUCACUCUCAAGUUGGGCAAAGUUAGCUAUCUCAAUGCGCAUUUUUGCUGUCUUGGCUGGUUGAAAAAAUUUAGCAAGGAAUUUCUGAGCUAAAUUUUCCCAGCUGAUAACUGAAUCUGCAGGCAUGGAGUUUAACCAGUUCUUCGUUCUAUCUCGCAGAGAAAAUGGAAACAGUCUGAGACGAAUGGCAUCAUCAGUAACGCCAUUAUGCUUAAAUGUGUCGCAAAUUUCCAAGAAACUUGCAAUAUGGGCGUUAGGAUCAUCACUUGGCAACCCAUAAAACUGAAUUGAGGUCUGAAUCAUUUGCAGUAUUGCUGGUUUGAUCUCAAAAUUAUUGGCCUCAAUCCUUGGUUUCCUGAUAACAGAACGGAUUCCUGUCACCUGUGGGAGAGCAAAAUCUCUCAAUGCCCGUGUGUCUUGCUCAGGAUUUUCAUUGUUUGCCAUGAAGCCUGAACUGUUUUGAAUUUCUCGCGUUUUCUUUCUUAAUCCCCUUGCAGUUUUCUCAAUCUCAGGAUUAUAAGGUAGCAACGGAUGGUUUUUGUUGCUUCUCAUGCACUAGACAACACACCUAAAGAGCUGAAGACAAAAGGCAAUCAAAUUAGAUCAAAUUUAAUUUAUAUUGAUAUUAUUAGUAAUUUUAUCUAAAAUCCCCGGCAACGGCGCCAAAAACUUGUUGGUUAAUUUCGCAAGUGCACGAAUCGUAACAAGUAAUAAAGUGAUAAGUAGAGUAUCGUCCCACGAGGAUUUGUAAAAAUUACUACUAAUUACCAAAGUCUUUUAAAUUAUGAUCUAUUUGAGGAAUCGAAUGAGAUAGUUUAUGAAACAAAAAUUAAUGAUUAAAAAAAAAACAAACAACCAAAUGAUUAAAUAUUAAUUAAUUAAAUUGUACUGGUUCUAGGAUUUAUGACUUACCGUAACUAUGCCUAUGUGAACUUUCUCGAUUAAAUUAAUUACUCCUAAUGUUGAUAAUCAGGUUUUCCUAAUGUAAAUAUUAAUCUCUCUCGAGCAUCAAUAAAUUAUUUCGACAAACAAAUUUCAUAUACUCUACGAAAGUUCUGAACUUGUCGAAAUUAAUUAAAUACUGUAAAACCUGUAACGAUUACAAAAGUUCCUAGGAUAUCUCUAUCCUAUAGAUUUCUUAAGGUAUUUCAAACAAUAGCUAAAACAAUUAUCACUUCUCAGUUUCAAAUUGAAUUCUAAAUCAUGCAGAUGUUGGCCAAACACACGCAAGCAUUACACAUAGAAUGAAAUACUCAACAUCUUAAUGUAAUAAUUCAAUCGAAGAAAUUGUUCACAUAUUCAUAGUAAGGUUACAUCAAAAAUCCCAGAAUAAAAGUCUACUCCAUAGUUAAAUCAAAGAGAAACAAACUUGAUACGAUGAACAUCACUCAAAAGCAGAGAAUUUCAGUGGAAGAGAUAGGUGUCCUCCCGGUCUUCAAUAUUUUUGCCUCUGUUCUUGGUGUUCCUGUUGGUGCCGCCUCCUCUGUUUUUCUUUGCUAUGUUCAGGGUUUCUAAGUGUCUCCCCUCCUCUGUUUUUCUGACCCGUAACUCUUCUUUUAUAUUGUGGCUUUUCUACCCCUGCAGUAAUGAGGAAAAUUUCCUUUUCUGCAUUGAUUUCUCCUACACAGACAUUGCGGGCCAGAUUUGAGGUAGGAAACGUGCGAAUUCAAAGAUCUCUAUUUCUGGAGAAAUUGUAGAGAAUCAAAUUUUCUUUCCAACGACACUGAUCUUGAAAUUUGUUGACCUCUGAGCGUUUAGAUAUGGGCUAUAAACCGAAAUAGUCUUUGCAGUGCAGGAAUUUCGGGCUGGUUCAAUCCUUGUUUUUCAACUCGCUUUUUGGGCUUCGAAACAACAAAACUGAGUUAUAUGUCCUUCAUAUGUUUUGUAGACCUUCAUCUCAGCUAUUUGAAAAUGGUUACGAACAUCCGGAACUAAAUUGUAUAGCUUCUUUGCAGCACAUAAUGAAUCACUGUUCAGUUUCACUGCCCGGCUCUGCCUGUUCAGUAACCUAAGAUCUGAAAACACAUUAAUUUCCCACGAGGUCAAUAGUUCAAAAAGAGAUUCAAAAUUCUAAUUGUCUUGUGCAACAUAUCCAAAAUAUUUAAAAAUCAAGCAUGAAUAGCAGAAAAUAUACAUGCUAAAAAUU